Ictidomys tridecemlineatus (thirteen-lined ground squirrel) is the source of this 72-nucleotide non-coding RNA. Lineage: Eukaryota; Metazoa; Chordata; Mammalia; Rodentia; Sciuridae. The record is from Rfam.
GGUGUUGUGGCUCAGCAGUAGAGCACUCGCCUGGUAUGUGCAAGGCCCUGGGUUCGAUUCUCAGCACCACAU